Hippocampus comes (tiger tail seahorse) is the source of this 492-nucleotide long non-coding RNA. RefSeq lists it as uncharacterized. The transcript has 2 exons. NCBI's taxonomy places the organism in Eukaryota, Metazoa, Chordata, Actinopteri, Syngnathiformes, Syngnathidae. The record is from RefSeq and is a predicted model, not a curated record.
CUUCACUCUUCUUCGAAAUCAUUUGACGUUUGCAAAUGUUGUCAAAGUUCCCAUUUGCCAUCGUACACUUUCUCAAAGCUCACCAAAAAAUGGAGUCUUUGUCCAUACGUCGAUGCUGAAAUAACUUUUUUUUUUGGGUUUGUUUUUGCAACGGUAUCGUUUGGAGAUGACACGCUCCAUGGUUACGAAAUGUGUGGCUUUGUUUUCUCAGUUCAGUGCCUAACCGACAUCCACUUUCACGAGUACUUGACCAGCUGGCGGUUCAAACCUUGCCGCUUGCUGUUUGUUGUCUUUCAUCAAAACGAUCCAAAUGUUUUCAACCAGUUGGCCUCACGCCGUGUCUGGAUUCGGGCCACCCUGCUGGCAUGCUAGCCAUUCCCAAGAAAGAAUGCAAAUGCAAGGACUUGUCAAGUUCUUCAUAAAUUUUUGCCCACCGAAUCAUAAAAUGAACACCUCAGAUUGACUGGAGUUCCCCCCCGUACAGAGUACAAA